This is a long non-coding RNA of Sphaerodactylus townsendi, 488 nucleotides long. RefSeq lists it as uncharacterized. The transcript is spliced from 3 exons. The record is from RefSeq and is a predicted model, not a curated record. Lineage: Eukaryota; Metazoa; Chordata; Lepidosauria; Squamata; Sphaerodactylidae.
AUGAGUUACAAGCUUUCCAAUUAAUCACCUACAGAGAAGGUCUUUGUAUAUGAUUCCAGCCUCGUGAACCAUAUUCUAGAAUCACCUAGUCCAACUCCAUGUCAAUGAACCAGGAUCAUCUAGUCCAACCCACAUGUCAAUGCAGGAACUACAAGUACAAUAUUCUUCACAAAUUGGCAAUGGAUGUGGAAUGGGUCAGGAGUCAGGACAUCUAACCUGAAUAACAUAUCUCGAGGUAAAAACCCCAUAAUGAAUCUGAGCAAAACACUUUCCUCCUUGCCUUUCAUUCAAAGUGCUUCCUGUUUGUGCAAAGUUCCCUUUCUUUGGGGUUCUAAUCACCAAAUUCUCUUGUGGGUGUUCUAAGGAUAUGAAGCAGAAGGCCAAAGAGAUAUAUAGCACAAGGCCACAACUGUAUCAUCUGAAUUAUGGCUGAAUUGGUUGGGCAAUUUUUCCAUCUCUAUAAAAACAUGGCUCACAGCACACUGGAA